This 463-nucleotide ribosomal RNA is filed under the name uncultured bacterium. RNAcentral describes it as "partial 16S ribosomal RNA". It matches the Rfam family "Bacterial small subunit ribosomal RNA", at positions 28 to 507 of the family's 1533-position model. The record is from RNAcentral.
GAUGAACGCUGACAGAAUGCUUAACACAUGCAAGUCUUUGGUGAAGCUGUGCUUGCACAGCCUAGCCAAGGCGGACGGGUGAGUAACGCCUAAGGAACUUGCCCUGCAGUCAGGGAUAACAGACGGAAACGACUGAUAAGACCUGGUAAAGUCAGGCGGACUCAUGUCCAGCCUGAUGAAAAGAGAUGCUGCAGGAGAGCCUUGCGUCCUAUUAGCUUGUUGGUGGGGUAACGGCCCACCAAGGCAAUGAUAGGUAGCCGGCCUGAGAGGGUGGACGGCCACAAGGGGACUGAGAUACGGCCCUUACUCCUACGGGAGGCAGCAGUGGGGAAUAUUGGACAAUGGGGGCAACCCUGAUCCAGCAAUUCUGUGUGCACGAUGAAGGUUUUCGGAGUGUAAAGUGCUUUCAGCAGGGAAGAAAAAAAUGACGGUACCUGCAGAAGAAGCGACGGCUAAAUACGUG